GGCCUAACACAUGCAAGUCGAACGAUACUUUCCAGCUUGCUGGAGAGGAAAGUGGCGCACGGGUGCGUAACGCGUAUGCAACCUACCUUAAUCAGGGGGAUAGCCCGAAGAAAUUCGGAUUAACACCGCAUAAAAUCACAGUACAGCAUUGUACAAUGAUCAAAUAUUUAUAGGAUUAAGAUGGGCAUGCGUGACAUUAGUUAGUUGGCGGGGUAACGGCCCACCAAGACCACGAUGUCUAGGGGAUCUGAGAGGAUGACCCCCCACACUGGUACUGAGACACGGACCAGACUCCUACGGGAGGCAGCAGUAAGGAAUAUUGGUCAAUGGAGGCAACUCUGAACCAGCCAUGCCGCGUGCAGGAAGACAGCCCUCUGGGUCGUAAACUGCUUUUAUUCGGGAAUAAACCUAUCUACGUGUAGAUAGCUGAAUGUACCGAAGGAAUAAGGAUCGGCUAACUCCGUGCCAGCAGCCGCGGUAAUACGGAGGAUCCAAGCGUUAUCCGGAUUUAUUGGGUUUAAAGGGUGCGUAGGCGGCUUAUUAAGUCAGGGGUGAAAGACGGUGGCUCAACCAUCGCAGUGCCCUUGAUACUGAUGAGCUUGAAUACACUAGAGGUAGGCGGAAUGUGACAAGUAGCGGUGAAAUGCAUAGAUAUGUCACAGAACACCGAUUGCGAAGGCAGCUUACUAUGGUGUCAUUGACGCUGAGGCACGAAAGCGUGGGGAUCAAACAGGAUUAGAUACCCUGGUAGUCCACGCCCUAAACGAUGAAUACUCGCUGUUAGCGAUACACAGUUAGCGGCUAAGCGAAAGCGUUAAGUAUUCCACCUGGGGAGUACGCCCGCAAGGGUGAAACUCAAAGGAAUUGACGGGGGCCCGCACAAGCGGAGGAGCAUGUGGUUUUAAUCGAUGAUACGCGAGGAACCUUUAUCGGGCUUGAAAGUUAGUG
Molecule: ribosomal RNA, 948 nt
Filed under: uncultured Pedobacter sp.
Lineage: Bacteria; Pseudomonadati; Bacteroidota; Sphingobacteriia; Sphingobacteriales; Sphingobacteriaceae
Description: bacterial SSU rRNA
Rfam family: Bacterial small subunit ribosomal RNA
Source: RNAcentral